GCAUCUCCACUGGCUUUCUGAUUCUUCUCUACUGCUAUUGUCGAUUCGAGCACACCACUUCAUUUCUAUCGUCUGCAGCAGAUGGGAAUUAAGGAGGUGAAGAAUCAAAAUUAAUUAGACGUAGUGAGGCUCCUUGAAUAAAGGCCAUAAUUGAGAAGAGUAAUUACAUGGUGUGAAGUUGAAAGGAAGCGUUUCCAUGGGGUUUGCAGAGGAGGUGUGAAGUCAACGGUGUGAGAGAUAGAGAGAAGACGUCAUUGGGCCGCGUAGAUAGAUUGCUAACAUGUGUUUACGGACCGAGAAAGAAA
Molecule: long non-coding RNA, 305 nt
Organism: Brassica oleracea var. oleracea
Lineage: Eukaryota; Viridiplantae; Streptophyta; Magnoliopsida; Brassicales; Brassicaceae
Exons: 2
Source: RefSeq, a predicted model, not a curated record